Molecule: ribosomal RNA, 380 nt
Filed under: uncultured eukaryote
Lineage: Eukaryota
Description: partial 18S ribosomal RNA
Rfam family: Eukaryotic small subunit ribosomal RNA
Source: RNAcentral
CAAUAGCGUAUAUUAAAGUUGUUGCAGUUAAAAAGCUCGUAGUUGGAUUUGUGGCGUACGGUGGGUUCCGGGCACUUGUUGUCUGAGUAACUUGCUGUUGCCAUCCUUGGGUGGAACCUGUGUGGCAUUAGGUUGUCGUGCAGGGGAUGCCCAUCAUUUACUGUGAAAAAAUUAGAGUGUUCAAAGCAGGCUUGUGCCGUUGAAUAUAUUAGCAUGGAAUAAUGAGAUAGGACUUUUUUGCUAUUUUGUUGGUUUGCGCAAAGAGGUAAUGAUUAAUAGGGACAGUUGGGGGUAUUCGUAUUCCAUUGUCAGAGGUGAAAUUCUUGGAUUUUUGGAAGACAAACUACUGCGAAAGCAUUUACCAAGGAUGUUUUCAUUAA